UCGAUCGCUGGCACCUCCGUGUUUAGGCAAUAGAAGACACCACAGUGCUGGAAUAGAAAGGACAAGAGAAGGAAUUGGUCUGCGUUUGGUUUGGACAAUACCCAAUUCGUCGUUUUUGUGGGUUUGGGAAGGAUUUUGAUCCCGGGUUGUCAGUAUUGAGUAACAGUCAUACCAUACGAUGAGAAAUGAAGAUUUACAAGCGGCAGCAUGGAAGGUUACAAUGAUGAUGGUGUCAAGGUAUUUUCAGGCGAACACUGGUUGCUGCAACCAAAUCAGAACCUUCUGGUGUUGCUUCUAUGGCUAAGAUGACGGCUCACAACCCAUUUGAGGAGUUCUUUGAAGCAGGUCUAAGUUGGAAGACAUCAAAAAGUGCGUCUGAAGUUUUGGAAUGAUCUCAAUGAGCUAUGAUUUGGAUCCCCCGAUGACAUGCCGGACCCAAUUUGUUAUCUCAAGCAACCCAGAAAUAGCUGGUAUUGUCCCAGAACCAGACAUUGACAGAAUCAUUUAAAGGUGAAGAAUUGCUGUUAUCCCAUCGGAAAGACUGAAAAUUUUGUUCCAGUGCACAAGGCAAGAGCACACCAAAAUUGCCGCAGAUGCAUGCCAAACAAGAUUAAAGGCCAAAACUCCAAUGACAUCUACUUUUUGCUCACUACAUGGAAUCCUCUGAACUACAAUGACAUGAACCAUUUUUUGAAAAGCUAAUGGCUUUACACUUUUGAACAAUGUCAGUCAGCAACCAGUGAAGCCAUGAAAAUCCUUUUUGCUCCCUGCAUGGCAAUAUUUUGUAAUGAAAUCAGACUAAUCAUUUUUUGAUAAACCAAUGGUUUAUACAUAUGAUGCAUGUAAAAGGCAUCUCCCAGACCUAGGGUAAAACAAUGUAUUCUAUUAUUGAAUGAAUGCCCCUUUCA
This is a long non-coding RNA of Rosa rugosa (rugosa rose), 908 nucleotides long. RefSeq lists it as uncharacterized. The transcript is spliced from 6 exons. Lineage: Eukaryota; Viridiplantae; Streptophyta; Magnoliopsida; Rosales; Rosaceae. The record is from RefSeq and is a predicted model, not a curated record.